RNAcentral lists this ribosomal RNA (411 nucleotides) under Actinomycetes bacterium. RNAcentral's name for it is "Actinobacteria bacterium partial 16S ribosomal RNA". It matches the Rfam family "Bacterial small subunit ribosomal RNA", at positions 355 to 776 of the family's 1533-position model. Lineage: Bacteria; Bacillati; Actinomycetota; Actinomycetes. The record is from RNAcentral.
UGGGGAAUAUUGCACAAUGGGCGCAAGCCUGAUGCAGCGACGCCGCGUGGGGGAUGACGGCAUUCGGGUUGUAAACUCCUUUCGCUAGGGACGAAGCCUUUUGUGACGGUACCUAGAUAAGAAGCACCGGCUAACUACGUGCCAGCAGCCGCGGUAAUACGUAGGGUGCGAGCGUUGUCCGGAAUUACUGGGCGUAAAGGGCUCGUAGGUGGUUUGUCGCGUCGUCUGUGAAAUUCCGGGGCUUAACUCCGGGCGUGCAGGCGAUACGGGCAUAACUUGAGUACUGUAGGGGUAACUGGAAUUCCUGGUGUAGCGGUGAAAUGCGCAGAUAUCAGGAGGAACACCGAUGGCGAAGGCAGGUUACUGGGCAGUUACUGACGCUGAGGAGCGAAAGCAUGGGUAGCGAACAGG